RNAcentral lists this ribosomal RNA (362 nucleotides) under uncultured soil bacterium. Its description in RNAcentral is "bacterial SSU rRNA". It matches the Rfam family "Bacterial small subunit ribosomal RNA", at positions 26 to 387 of the family's 1533-position model. The record is from RNAcentral.
AGAUUGAACGCUGGCGGCAUGCCUUACACAUGCAAGUCGAACGGCAGCGCGGGAGCAAUCCUGGCGGCGAGUGGCGAACGGGUGAGUAAUAUAUCGGAACGUGCCCUGGAGUGGGGGAUAACGCAGCGAAAGUUGCGCUAAUACCGCAUACGAUCUACGGAUGAAAGUGGGGGAUUCGCAAGAACCUCAUGCUCGUGGAGCGGCCGAUAUCUGAUUAGCUAGUUAGGUAGGGUAAAGCCUACCAAGGCAUCGAUCAGUAGCUGGUCUGAGAGGACGACCAGCCACACUGGGACUGAGACACGGCCCAGACUCCGUACGGGAGCAGCAGUGGGGAAUUUGGACAAGUGGGGGACAACCGUGAC